This 392-nucleotide ribosomal RNA is filed under the name uncultured bacterium. RNAcentral's name for it is "bacterial SSU rRNA". It matches the Rfam family "Bacterial small subunit ribosomal RNA", at positions 29 to 399 of the family's 1533-position model. The record is from RNAcentral.
AACGAACGCUGGCGGCGUGCCUGAGACAUGCAAGUCGUGGGAGAAAGUCGGAGCAAUCCGGCUAGUAAACCGGCGCACGGGUGAGUAACACGUGGACAACCUGCCUUGGAGUUCGGGAUAACCCGUCGAAAGACGGACUAAUACCGGAUAUGACCACGGAGAGUUCGCUCUCUGAAGGUAAAAGAUGGCCUCUGCUCCUGCAAGCUAUCUCUUCGAGAGGGGUCCGCGUCCUAUCAGCUAGUUGGUGAGAUAACGGCUCACCAAGGCUAAGACGGGUAGCUGGUCUGAGAGGAUGGUCAGCCACACUGGGACUGAGACACGGCCCAGAGUCCUACGGGAUGCAGCAGUCAGGAAUAUUGCGCAAUGGAGGAAACUCUGACGCAGCGACGCCG